GACGAACGCUGGCGGCGUGCUUAACACAUGCAAGUCGAGCGGUAAGGCCCUUUCGGGGGUACGACGAGCGGCGAACGGGUGAGUAACACGUGGGUGACCUGCCCUUAGCUCUGGGAUAAGCCUGGGAAACUGGGUCUAAUACCGGAUAUGACUCCAUAACGCAUGUUGUGGGGUGGAAAGCCUUGUGCGGCUAGGGAUGGGCCCGCGGCCUAUCAGCUUGUUGGUGGGGUGAUGGCCACCAAGGCGACGACGGGUAGCCGGCC
This 263-nucleotide ribosomal RNA is filed under the name uncultured bacterium. Its description in RNAcentral is "partial 16S ribosomal RNA". It matches the Rfam family "Bacterial small subunit ribosomal RNA", at positions 28 to 292 of the family's 1533-position model. The record is from RNAcentral.